AUGAUGGAGAUGUCGCUGAUGGAGGCGAUGGUGAGCGGCGGCACCGGGGAGUCGAUCCUGACGUCGAUGAAGUUUGCCGUGCUGCCGAUCGCCAAGGUGUUCACAUUGUGCUUCAUGGGCUUCCUCAUGGCCACCAGGUACAUCGGCAUCCUCGACGCCAACGGCCGCAAGCUUCUCAACGGGCUAGUGUUUUCCCUACUACUUCCAUGCCUUAUAUUCACUCAGCUUGGACGAGCAAUUACAGUGCAGAAAGUGUUAGACUGGUGGUACAUUCCUUUAAAUAUUGUUGUGGGGACAGUGUCUGGUUCUCUAGUAGGCCUUCUUGUGGCGUUGAUUGUGCAGCCGCCACAUCCAUAUUUCAAGUUCACCGUUGUCCACAUCGCUAUAGGUAACAAUGGAAACAUGCCUCUCGUCCUGAUCGCCGCUCUCUGUCGAGACCCAUCGAACCCGUUUGGGGAUCCUGAGAAAUGCAAGCAGGACGGCAACGCCUACGUCUCUUUUGGGCAAUGGGUCGGGGCGAUUAUCUUGUACAGCUACGUGUUUCAGAUGCUUGCGCCGCCGCCUGGUGAAACCUUCGAUGGAAGCAGAGUGGAGAAUCCCCCUCCCCCAGCCCUGGCUGCUGCACCUGCACCUGAACAAGUUCGCCUGCUAACCUCGCGUGCAUCUGAACAAGCUCCCAAGUGCUCAAAAGCACUGGAAAUUCUGCACAUCUUUGUUGAGAAAUUUAAGCUGAAGCGAGUGUUUCAACCACCGGUGAUUGCAUCGGCACUGGGGAUUUCCAUUGGAGCAACGCCAUCCCUGAAGCACUUGGUCCUGACUAACCACGCCCCGUUAUUCUUCUUUACCGAUGCCUGCAUCAUUCUUGGGGGGGCAAUGAUCCCAUGCAUCUUGCUCCCCUCGGAGGCAAUCUCCAAGAAGCUGGGACUGAGGACGACGGCGGCGAUCAUCAUCGGGCGGCUGGUGCUGGUCCCACCGGCGGGGAUGUGCAUGGUGGCCCUGGCGGACAGGCUGGGGUUCAUCCCGAGGGGUGACACCAUGUUCAAGUUCGUCCUCCUCCUGCAGCACUCCAUGCCUACCUCGGUGCUCUCCGGGGCCGUCGCCAAUCUGCGCGGGUGCGGGGAGGAGUCGGCGGCGGUGCUCUUCUGGAUGUACGUUUGCGCCGUCUUCUCCGUCGCCGGGUGGAUGGUGCUCUACAUCAGGAUGCUCUUCUGA
This 1212-nucleotide ribosomal RNA is filed under the name Triticum aestivum (bread wheat). RNAcentral's name for it is "partial small subunit ribosomal RNA". Lineage: Eukaryota; Viridiplantae; Streptophyta; Magnoliopsida; Poales; Poaceae. The record is from RNAcentral.